This 253-nucleotide ribosomal RNA is filed under the name uncultured bacterium. RNAcentral describes it as "partial 16S ribosomal RNA". It matches the Rfam family "Bacterial small subunit ribosomal RNA", at positions 524 to 773 of the family's 1533-position model. The record is from RNAcentral.
UACGGAGGGUGCGAGCGUUUGUCCGGAAUCACUGGGCGUAAAGCGCGCGUAGGUCGGCUUUGCAAGUCGGGUGUGAAAUCCCCAGGCUUAACCUGGGAACUGCAUUCGAGACUGCAUUGCUAGAGUAUGGGAGAGGGAAGUGGAAUUUCAGGUGUAGCGGUGAAAUGCGUAGAGAUCCGGAAGAACACCGGUGGCGAAGGCGGUCUGCUGGGGUCGAACUGACGCUGAGGCGCGACAGCGGUGGGGAGCAAAC